Molecule: ribosomal RNA, 253 nt
Filed under: uncultured bacterium
Lineage: Bacteria
Description: partial 16S ribosomal RNA
Rfam family: Bacterial small subunit ribosomal RNA
Source: RNAcentral
UACGUAGGGGGCAAGCGUUGUCCGGAUUUAUUGGGCGUAAAGAGCGUGUAGGCGGCCAGGUAGGUCCGUUGUGAAAACUCGAGGCUCAACCUCGAGACGCCGAUGGAAACCAUCUGGCUAGAGUCCGGAAGAGGAGAGUGGAAUUCCUGGUGUAGCGGUGAAAUGCGCAGAUAUCAGGAGGAACACCGGUGGUGUAAACGGCUUUCUGGACCAUAACUGACGCUGAGGCACGAAAGCGUGGGUAGCAAACAGG